This 270-nucleotide unclassified non-coding RNA is filed under the name Hevea brasiliensis (rubber tree). The record is from RNAcentral. Lineage: Eukaryota; Viridiplantae; Streptophyta; Magnoliopsida; Malpighiales; Euphorbiaceae.
CCUAUUUCUCUUUUUCCUAUUUCUCUUUUCACAUCGGAUGAUGCAUUGAUAGCUAAGGUUAAAAGGCUUUGUUUUUCAGUUAUUUGUACUUGAUUUGUGUUGGUAAGGGAAGGAGAUAAAAAAGCUUAAUAUUUUUCCUGAUCAAAUGGGCUCAUUUGGGUUCUUUCUGAUAUGUAUGCUUCAUUCUUUGAUAGCUCUAACCUGUGGAAUUCUGAUGAUGUUUUACACGAAUGAGGCCUCUGUGUUUGGCCAUGGCAUUGAGGUAGCUUC